CACCGGGAAUAGCACCGCUCUUAACCACCAGGAGAAACCGAGAAAGUCGCACUCGCUGUUGCGAAGCAGACACACAACAUGGAUCGGGCAAAUGCAAAUACCCGUGUCGGAACUUCUGGAUUGGGAAUCUGGCUACGGAAGUCCGGUGAUGCCAACCUCCUGCAAACCCCCAGGACCAAGCGCCGAACCUGGGGUGAUAGGGCAUUUUCAGUUGCUGCCCCCUCCCUGUGGAACACACUCCCUAACCACAUCAAAAAAGAUGCCCCCACACUCCCAUCCUUCAUCUUUCCCCAGCUAACCCCCCACCCCCUGUGUUGUUUUUACUGUUUUUACUUUUAGACGCAAUUUCUUUCCUUUCACCUAAUAAAGUUUUAUGUCUCUUUCUUUUUGUUUCCCCAUGUAAAGCAACUUUGAGUACCUAGAAAAGUUCUAUAUAAAUAUGAGGUAUUAUUAUUAUUAUUAUUUAAAGGAAGAGACGGUACAUUUGAACAGUAGUACAGUAUAGAUUUUAAGUGUGUGUGUUUGUUGGGGGGGGGGGGGGCAGUCCACAGCUUCGGCUAUGUCAUUGGCUAGUUAUUACACAGAAGUCGAAAUCCUGGAACUUGAGUUUAUUUUUUACCUUAAAAGUUGGCUAAUUUAUCUGUGAAUGUUAUGGUGCAAAAAGGUUUCAGUGCAAAGUGAGUUUUUUUAACUGUUUGAUAUUGUCUACCUGAAAAAUAGUUUAACCAAAAGCAGGUUCGCCCUGCGUCAGAUUUCUGAAGAGGGCGCUCUUACCUUACUGACUGCCGUAGUCCCUGCAGUCAGACUGUGUGUGUUUCAAAACAACAGUAGUUUGAUGCAUGGGAAAUGGGCCUCUACCGGCAUGUCAUUUUAUUUUAAUUUUAUUUUUUUGCAGCUUCUGGAAUAGCGCGCAAUCGAGUUGCAAAAAAAAGUUAUGCAAAUUUGAUAAAUUUGCUUUGUCUUUGAAUUAUUACCUUCCAGAUGGUUAGUUUUAGUGGCCAGGUGUCCACGCUUUUACCAAUUAGGAGCCUAUUGAGUCACCUCAGUCUUUAAUUUCAAGUUUUGCAUUUUUAUGCAAUUGUUUGCGAUAUAACACAAGCAAAAUAGCAUGGGGAUUUUAUUCUUCAUAGCAUGCAUUGCUGUUUCUGACAAUGUGGCUUAAGAGGGUAAAAAAUCCCUCUACA
This is a long non-coding RNA of Anguilla rostrata (American eel), 1184 nucleotides long. RefSeq lists it as uncharacterized. The record is from RefSeq and is a predicted model, not a curated record. Lineage: Eukaryota; Metazoa; Chordata; Actinopteri; Anguilliformes; Anguillidae. The transcript is spliced from 2 exons.